GGGGGCGUACUGGUUUCGACUGGUGGUUUGAAGGGCUGGCUGCAUGCCGAGGUUGAUCAGUUGGCCUCGUAAAAAGCUGAUCAAACAAAUAAACGCAAACUACGAACCUGAACUUGCUCUGGCUGCCUAAUUGAGCGGCCCGUGGCGCGCCCGAUGCCUGCUGAGGUGCGCUGCGAACACCAGCGGGCUGGUUCCCCGCCGGGCGUCCGGGCGGAGGAACGAGAGGUUACAGUGGCGAUCGGGAGAACGGCAUUCUGCCUGUCGAAGGCUGCCUCCCUAAAUCAAAAGACCGGCUAAGCAUGUAGAGGCUUGCAUGGACGAUCAUUAGGACAGGGGUUCGACUCCCCUCGCCUCCACCA
This 359-nucleotide transfer-messenger RNA is filed under the name Verrucomicrobiales. RNAcentral describes it as "JAEUHH01 sp016795505 Standard tmRNA". It matches the Rfam family "transfer-messenger RNA". Rfam says of the family: Bacterial tmRNA, also known as 10Sa RNA or SsrA, is named for its dual tRNA and mRNA-like properties. Its role is to liberate the mRNA from a stalled ribosome. To accomplish this part of the tmRNA is used as a reading frame that ends in a translation stop signal. The record is from RNAcentral. Lineage: Bacteria; Pseudomonadati; Verrucomicrobiota; Verrucomicrobiia. RNAcentral also lists the same sequence under 1 other name.